UACGGAGGGUGCAAGCGUUAUCCGGAUUCACUGGGUUUAAAGGGUGCGUAGGUGGGCAAGUAAGUCAGUGGUGAAAUCUCCGGGCUUAACCCGGAAACUGCCAUUGAUACUAUUUGUCUUGAAUACUGUGGAGGUCAGCGGAAUAUGUCAUGUAGCGGUGAAAUGCUUAGAUAUGACAUAGAACACCAAUUGCGAAGGCAGCUGGCUACGCGAAUAUUGACACUGAUGCACGAAAGCGUGGGGAUCAAACAGG
RNAcentral lists this ribosomal RNA (253 nucleotides) under uncultured bacterium. RNAcentral describes it as "partial 16S ribosomal RNA". It matches the Rfam family "Bacterial small subunit ribosomal RNA", at positions 524 to 776 of the family's 1533-position model. The record is from RNAcentral.